Molecule: long non-coding RNA, 1195 nt
Organism: Canis lupus familiaris (dog)
Lineage: Eukaryota; Metazoa; Chordata; Mammalia; Carnivora; Canidae
Exons: 4
Source: RefSeq, a predicted model, not a curated record
AUAUCCUGUCUGGUAAGAGUGUUUUGCCUGCCUGAGACCUGGGGCCAUGCUCUACCGGUUUGGCGAGAUAAGUUUAUCCUGCCAAUGUGAUUUAUAGACGAUGCCAGGAUCUGAAGCCAGUCACAUAAAUGCCACAGGCUUGCAUGACUGAUCCUUAGUAAAAACUCUGGACAUAGGGCUCAGAAGUGGCUGCUUUCCUUGUACCCUGCCUCCAGUGCACAGAAGCAGAUACAGCCUGGAACCAAGAGUGAUGGUGGAUUUUGUAUCAGCCAUGGGUGCCCAGACAUUUGGGUACCAGUGUCUGUGAGGGAGCUGAUGCUACCAUUUCAAUCCACAGACUGAAGCAGCUUGCCCUCCUCAAGACGGGUGGGCCUCAUCCAAUCAAUUGAAGACCUGAAUAUACAAAAAGACCAUGUGGCUCCUGAAAACAGUAUUGGAUUCCUCAUCUCUGGCUUCUCCUGAGCAGCUCUUGAGGUGACUGACCCAUGGCAAAUGACUCAGUAAAUGACUCUUUGAUGUCACCUAGAGAAGCACAGCCAUCUGACCCCCAGUACAGGAAGCGAGGGUUUGAAGCGGCCCUCUGUAAAGGAGAAUAAAUGAUUGCAAAGUCUUUGGAUUGUAUUUCUGAAGAACUACGUGCUAUCAACAUUUAUUUCCAAUUUACCACUUGAAUGCAGUGCCUGGAGACUGAAGCAGGUGAACUGGCAUGUGACCUGGCCCUGUUGGGGGCCAACCUAACAGAGUUCUCUGGAUUAGUGUCCAGGUAGAACACAAUGUUGACUGAAGGAAACGUCAUAAAAAUGUGUUAAUCUGAAGUUUACAGAUGUAUUAAUAAAAUGCAAUUGUUUAGAAAUUAGGUAAAGUUUUUUUUUGAAGGCAGAGUAUUUUAUCAAAGAUUCUAUUUAUCAUUGGCUGUUUGUGGAGGUUACAUCUUUUCUGGAUGAUUCACCCCUCAUAACCUUCAUGUGGGGCAGACUUCUCCCAUAUCCUACCUUAGCACCCACCUGCAAGAUUGGACUCCUUCUCACCAUCUUCCCUGACACCUUGGCGGUCCCAUCCAUGCUCUCUUGCCUGGAUUCUUGUCAUUGUCACAGUUAGGGGCUGAAUUGUGUCACCCUCAGGCUCCACCUGCAAAAUUCAUGUGUGGAAGCCCUGACCCCUAGUACCUCAGAAUGUGACAGUGUUUGAAGACAGA